GCGCUAGGGGUGUAAAUGAGCCGAGUCGAGUCGAGUAUUGCCAUGCUCAGACUCGAGCUCGACUAUUUUGAUGAAGCUCGAGCUCGAGCUCGACUCGGCCGAGCUUGAUUUUUUUGAGCUCGAGCUCGACUCGAUGUCAUAUUUGUGAGCUCGAGCUCGACUCGGUUAAGCUCGAUUGUGGAGUCUUGCUCGAGUUUGAGCUCGAGCUCGAGCUCAUUUAAGCUCGUUGAGCUCGAGCUCGUUCAAACUCGGUGAACUCGAGCUCGUUUGGGCCAUUUUGUGGGUUUUAAAUAUAUUUAAUUUUGGGCUAAUAUAUAAUAUAUUAUAUACUAAUUACUUGAGCUCGAUUAGGCUCGCGAGCCUAACGAGUCGAGUAUCACGAAACUCGAACUCGGGCUCGGUACCAACUCGAGUAGCUCGAGCUCGAGCUCAACUCGACUAACAUCGAGUCGAUUUCGAGUAAUCUUCGAGCCGAUCCCGAGUAGCUCGCGAGCUAGCUCGACUCACUUACACCCCUA
This 518-nucleotide long non-coding RNA is filed under the name Salvia miltiorrhiza (redroot sage). RNAcentral describes it as "long non-coding RNA (SMIL_LNC000376)". The record is from RNAcentral. Lineage: Eukaryota; Viridiplantae; Streptophyta; Magnoliopsida; Lamiales; Lamiaceae.